CCUCGCAGGCAGCGCGUUUACAUCAGAGCUCCCGAGUCCACGCACCUCGCAGGCAGCGCGUUUACGUCAGAGCGCCCGAGUCCACGGACCUCGCAGGCAGCGCGUUUACGUCAGAGCUCCCGAGUCCACGCACCUCGCAGGCAGUACGUUUACCUCAGAGCUCCCGAGUCCACCGACCUCGCAGGCAGCGCGUUUACGUCAGAGCUCCCGAGUCCACGCACCUCGCAGGCAGUGUAUUUACAUGGAAAUUGGAUCGAGGCACUGACGUUUAAAUCUUGGCUCCUGCUCCUGCCGUCUAGACAAAGGGCGCACCCAUUGCCGUCUCAGACACCAGAGGCUCCCACUUGACCAGGGGAAGCUGUUCAUGUUCUAUCCUGCGUGUUCUCGAGAAAGUUUUGAUGACAGAAAACAUCACACAGAAAGGGGAAGGCAUCGCAAGUUUCCAGCUCCAUGGAUUUUUGCAAACUGAGCACAUUUGUGGGCCAGGAGUGGGGCCCACAGCGAGAAUAUCCUUCCUGCUGCUCCUGCCAUCCAUCCACCAGCACAGCCAGUUCCCAGCUGUGGAACACACAGUGCUGAAGGCUGGGAGUCCAAGAUCAAGUUGCUGGCAGGGUCGGUGUCUGGUGAAGGCUGCUGUCUGUAUCCAAGGUGGCCUUGGGGCGGGUGCCUGGUCCUCACUGGGUGGUAGGCGGAAGGCCUGUGGCAGCCUUAGCCGCCUUCCUCCAGCCCCUGCACAAGGCAAUCAUCCCUUCACUUCCCAAGGGCCCCGCAUCCUCACGCCACCACAAUGGGAUUCAGUUUCAACAUGAAUUUGAAGGGUCACACGUUGAAACCACAGUAGACUCUCUUUUUUUAAAUUUAGAGCUGUGCACUGUUGAGUUGAUCACGAUGAGAACAGUGAGUGUCUCUCACCUGUGGCUGCACUUGCUGGAAGCACCGCCUGCUCUGGCCUCUUUGCUCCAGAACAUUCCCUGCUGAACAGUGACACCAGGGAAGGCCAAGGAUGGGCACACAAGGCUCAGUCCUUCACCUGAUGGCGGCUUGGCCAUGUUCAUCUUUCCCUUUUCUCAAAGACCUGUGUGGGGCCAGAGAAAGCUGGGGUUUCCGGUGGCCUGCAGUGUGGCAGAAAGCAGAGCCUUCCACUGGGAAAAGGGGAAAAAGGGAAUUCUUCCGAAGAGAAGGAUGAAGCCAGCAGCAGGGGUCCCGGCAGGCCUGACCCCCAUGGAGCUGAUGAGGCCGAGUGUCAGGAAGCACUCCCAUUGUCCUCGAAAACAGACACAGGUCAACCUGCGUUACGGGGUCUGCGAGGUCAUCAGAUAACCCCACAGUGUCGAAUACUGUAACUACAUGCCUGCCUAAGAUGACCUGGUAUACUGUAGGUGCACACAAGAUUCUCCAUAGUGAAAGUACAUAUACAAUUGUUGCUAAUUUUUGAUCCUAGAAAAUCCACUGGAUUGAUACUUUAGAAGAGGAUAA
Molecule: long non-coding RNA, 1476 nt
Organism: Homo sapiens (human)
Lineage: Eukaryota; Metazoa; Chordata; Mammalia; Primates; Hominidae
Product: long intergenic non-protein coding RNA 1115
Source: Ensembl